CCAGACUCCUACGGGAGGCAGCAGUGGGGAAUAUUGCACAAUGGGGGAAACCCUGAUGCAGCGACGCCGCGUGAGCGAUGAAGUAUUUCGGUAUGUAAAGCUCUAUCAGCAGGGAAGAAGAUGACGGUACCUGACUAAGAAGCCCCGGCUAACUACGUGCCAGCAGCCGCGGUAAUACGUAUGGGGCAAGCGUUAUCCGGAUUUACUGGGUGUAAAGGGAGCGUAGACGGCGAUGCAAGUCUGAAGUGAAAGGCGGGGGCCCAACCCCCGGACUGCUUUGGAAACUGUAUAGCUGGAGUGCAGGAGAGGUAAGUGGAAUUCCUAGUGUAGCGGUGAAAUGCGUAGAUAUUAGGAGGAACACCAGUGGCGAAGGCGGCCUGCUGGACGACAACUGACGGUGAGGCGCGAAAGCGUGGGGAGCAAACAGGAUUAGAUACCCGAGUAC
This 445-nucleotide ribosomal RNA is filed under the name uncultured bacterium. RNAcentral describes it as "bacterial SSU rRNA". It matches the Rfam family "Bacterial small subunit ribosomal RNA", at positions 331 to 793 of the family's 1533-position model. The record is from RNAcentral.